Molecule: ribosomal RNA, 443 nt
Filed under: uncultured bacterium
Lineage: Bacteria
Description: bacterial SSU rRNA
Rfam family: Bacterial small subunit ribosomal RNA
Source: RNAcentral
AUACGGGAGGCAGCAGUGAGGAAUAUUGCACAAUGGGCGAAAGCCUGAUGCAGCAACGCCGCGUGAGGGACGAAGGCCUUCGGGUUGUAAACCUCUUUUCUGGGGGAAGAGACUAGGACGGUACCCUAGGAAUAAGUCUCGGCUAACUACGUGCCAGCAGCCGCGGUAAAACGUAGGAGGCGAGCGUUAUCCGGAUUUACUGGGCGUAAAGCGCACGCAGGCGGCUUCGUUAGUCGGACGUGAAAGCUCCUGGCUUAACUGGGAGAGGCCGUUCGAUACUGCGAGGCUUGAGGUUGGGAGAGGGGUGCGGAAUUCCCGGUGUAGUGGUGGAAUGCGUAGAUAUCGGGAGGAACACCUGUGGCGAAAGCGGCACCCUGGCCCACACCUGACGCUGAGGUGCGAAAGCGUGGGGAGCAAACAGGAUUAGAAACCCCAGUAGUCCG